Molecule: ribosomal RNA, 406 nt
Filed under: uncultured bacterium
Lineage: Bacteria
Description: partial 16S ribosomal RNA
Rfam family: Bacterial small subunit ribosomal RNA
Source: RNAcentral
AUUGAACGCUGGCGGCAGGCCUAACACAUGCAAGUCGAACGAGUGGCGGACGGGUGAGUAAUGUCUGGGAAACUGCCUGACGGAGGGGGAUAACUACUGGAAACGGUAGCUAAUAACGCAUACCAUCGGAUGUGCCCAGAUGGGAUUAGCCAGUAGGUGGGGUAAAGGCACACCUAGGCGACGAUCCCUAGCUGGUCUGAGAGGUUGACCAGCCACACUGGAACUGAGACACGGUCCAGACUCCUACGGGAGGCAGCAGUGGGGAAUAUUGCGCAAUGGGCGCAAGCCUGAUGCAGCCAUGCCGCGUGUGUGAAGAAGGCCUUCGGGUUGUAAAGUGCUUUCGGCGGGGAGGCGUUACCCGCAGAGGAAGCACCGGCUAACUCCGUGCCAGCAGCCGCGGUAAUAC